This 429-nucleotide ribosomal RNA is filed under the name Acidobacteriota bacterium. Its description in RNAcentral is "Acidobacteria bacterium partial 16S ribosomal RNA". It matches the Rfam family "Bacterial small subunit ribosomal RNA", at positions 355 to 776 of the family's 1533-position model. The record is from RNAcentral. Lineage: Bacteria; Pseudomonadati; Acidobacteriota.
UGGGGAAUUUUGGACAAUGGGGGAAACCCUGAUCCAGCCAUCCCGCGUGUGCGAUGAAGGCCUUCGGGUUGUAAAGCACUUUUGGCAGGAAAGAAACGUCAUGGGUUAAUACCCCGUGAAACUGACGGUACCUGCAGAAUAAGCACCGGCUAACUACGUGCCAGCAGCCGCGGUAAUACGUAGGGUGCAAGCGUUAAUCGGAAUUACUGGGCUUAAAGCGUGCGCAGGCGGUUCGGAAAGAAAGAUGUGAAAUCCCAGAGCUCAACUUUGGAACUGCCAUUUUAACUACCGGGCUUGAGUGUGUCAGAGGGAGGUGGAAUUCCGCGUGUAGCAGUGAAAUGCGUAGAUAUGCGGAGGAACACCGAUGGCGAAGGCAGCCUCCUGGGAUAACACUGACGCUCAUGCACGAAAGCGUGGGGAGCAAACAGG